AACUGAUUAGAAGCUUGCUUCUAUGACGUUAGCGGCGGACGGGUGAGUAACACGUGGGCAACCUGCCUGUAAGACUGGAAUAACUUCGGGAAACCGAAGCUAAUACCGGAUAGGAUCUUCUCCUUCAUGGGAGAUGAUUGAAAGAUGGUUUCGGCUAUCACUUACAGAUGGGCCCGCGGUGCAUUAGCUAGUUGGUGAGGUAACGGCUCACCAAGGCAACGAUGCAUAGCCGACCUGAGAGGGUGAUCGGCCACACUGGGGCUGAGACACGGCCCAGACUCCUACGGGAGGCAGCAGUAGGGAAUCUUCCGCAAUGGACGAAAGUCUGACGGAGCAACGCCGCGUGAGUGAUGAAGGCUUUCGGGUCGUAAAACUCUGUUGUUAGGGAAGAACAAGUACAAGAGUAACUGCUUGUACCUUGACGGUACCUAACCAGAAAGCCACGGCUAACUACGUGCCAGCAGCCGCGGUAAUACGUAGGUGGCAAGCGUUAUCCGGAAUUAUUGGGCGUAAAGCGCGCGCAGGCGGUUUCUUAAGUCUGAUGUGAAAGCCCACGGCUCAACCGUGGAGGGUCAUUGGAAACUGGGGAACUUGAGUGCAGAAGAGAAAAGCGGAAUUCCACGUGUAGCGGUGAAAUGCGUAGAGAUGUGGAGGAACACCAGUGGCGAAGGCGGCUUUUUGGUCUGUAACUGACGCUGAGGCGCGAAAGCGUGGGGAGCAAACAGGAUUAGAUACCCUGGUAGUCCACGCCGUAAACGAUGAGUGCUAAGUGUUAGAGGGUUUCCGCCCUUUAAUGCUGCAGCUAACGCAUUAAGCACUCCGCCUGGGGAGUACGGUCGCAAGACUGAAACUCAAAGGAAUUGACGGGGGCCCGCACAAGCGUGAGCCAUGUGGUUAAUUCGAAGCAACGCGAAGAACCUUACCAGUCGUGGACAUCCUCUGACAACUCUAGAGAUAGAGCGUUCCCCUUCGGGGGACAGAGUGACAGGUGGUGCAUGGUUGUCGUCAGCUCGUGUCGUGAGAUGUUGGGUUAAGUCCCGCAACGAGCGCAACCCUUGAUCUUAGUUGCCAGCAUUUAGUUGGGCACUCUAAGGUGACUGCCGGUGACAAACCGGAGGAAGGUGGGGAUGACGUCAAAUCAUCAUGCCCCUUAUGACCUGGGCUACACACGUGCUACAAUGGAUGGUACAAAGGGCUGCAAGACCGCGAGGUCAAGCCAAUCCCAUAAAACCAUUCUCAGUUCGGAUUGUAGGCUGCAACUCGCCUACAUGAAGCUGGAAUCGCUAGUAAUCGCGGAUCAGCAUGCCGCGGUGAAUACGUUCCCGGGCCUUGUACACACCGCCCGUCA
Molecule: ribosomal RNA, 1348 nt
Filed under: uncultured Bacillota bacterium
Lineage: Bacteria; Bacillati; Bacillota
Description: bacterial SSU rRNA
Rfam family: Bacterial small subunit ribosomal RNA
Source: RNAcentral